UGAAUACGAGAUGCUACGGCGUCGAAGCAGUGUAUGUCAGACUUCCAAGAAAAGCUCGCAAUGUCAUAAAUAAAGAAUGCCUGUACCAUAACCGACACAGGUGGGUAGGUAGAGUAUACUAAGGGGCGCGAGAUAACUCUCUCUAAGGAACUCGGCAAAAUAACUCCGUAACUUCGGGAGAAGGAGUGCCUUCUUUAAGAAGGUUGCAAUAACAAGAUCCAAGCAACUGUUUAUCAAAAACACAGGUCUCCGCUAAGUCGUAAGACGAUGUAUGGGGGCUGACGCCUGCCCAGUGCCAGAAGGUUAAAGAAGUUGGUUAGCUUUUGCGAAGCUGAUGACUGAAGCCCUGGUGAACGGCGGCCGUAACGAUAACGGUCCUAAGGUAGCGAAAUUCCUUGUCGGGUAAGUUCCGACCCGCACGAAAGGCGUAAUGAUUUGGAUACUGUCUCGGAGAGGGACUCGGUGAAAUAGACUUGUCUGUGAAGAUGCGGACUACCUGCACCAGGACAGAAAGACCCUAUGAAGCUUUACUGUAACUUGAAAUUGAAAUUGGACUUUAUUUGCGCAGUAUAGGUGGAAGGCGUUGAAAGUAAUCUUGCGGGAUUAGUGGAGCCAUCAGUGAGAUACCACUCCUAUAAUGUUAGAUUUCUAACUUUGGAUCAUGAUCUGGUCAAAGAACAGUUUCAGGCGGGCAGUUUGACUGGGGCGGUCGCCUCCCAAAUGGUAACGGAGGCGUACAAAGGUUUCCUCUGAACGGGUAGAAAUCGUAUCUAGAGUGUAAAGGCAUAAGGAAGCUUGACUGUGAGACCUACAAGUCGAGCAGGGACGAAAGUCGGUCUUAGUGAUCUGACGGUGCUGAGUGGAAAGGCCGUCACUCAACGGAUAAAAGUUACUCUAGGAUAACAGGCUGAUCUCCCCCAAGAGUUCACAUCGACGGGGAGGUUUGGCACCUCGAUGUCGGCUCAUCGCAUCCUGGGGCGGUAGUACGUCCCAAGGGUUGGGCUGUUCGCCCAUGAAAGCGGUACGCGAGCUGGGUUCAGAACGUCGUGAGACAGUUCGGUCCAUAUCCGGUGUAGGCGUUAGAAUAUUGAGAGGAGCCUUCUUUAGUACGAGAGGACCGAGAAGGACAUACCUCUGGUGUACCAGUUAUCGUGCCAACGGUAAACGCUGGGUAGCUAUGUAUGGAGAGGAUAACCGCUGAAAGCAUCUAAGUGGGAAGCCCACCUCAAGAUGAGUAUUCU
Molecule: ribosomal RNA, 1241 nt
Filed under: metagenome
Description: bacterial LSU rRNA
Rfam family: Bacterial large subunit ribosomal RNA
Source: RNAcentral